UACGUAGGGGGCAAGCGUUGUCCGGAUUUAUUGGGCGUAAAGAGCGUGUAGGCGGCCUGACAGGUCUGCUGUGAAAACUCGAGGCUCAACCUCGAGAUGUCGGCGGAAACCGUCUGGCUAGAGUCCGGAAGAGGAGAGUGGAAUUCCUGGUGUAGCGGUGAAAUGCGCAGAUAUCAGAAAGAACACCUAUGGCGAAGGCAGCUCUCUGGGACGGUACUGACGCUGAGACGCGAAAGCGUGGGGAGCGAACAGG
This 253-nucleotide ribosomal RNA is filed under the name uncultured bacterium. RNAcentral describes it as "partial 16S ribosomal RNA". It matches the Rfam family "Bacterial small subunit ribosomal RNA", at positions 524 to 776 of the family's 1533-position model. The record is from RNAcentral.